GGGGGUAUAGCUCAGCGGGAGAGCACCUGCUUUGCAAGCAGGGGGUCGCCGGUUCGAUCCCGGCUGGCUCCACCA
Molecule: transfer RNA, 75 nt
Filed under: Armatimonadota bacterium
Lineage: Bacteria; Bacillati; Armatimonadota
Description: Armatimonadetes bacterium tRNA-Ala
Rfam family: tRNA
About the family: Transfer RNA (tRNA) molecules are approximately 80 nucleotides in length.
Source: RNAcentral